AGAGUUUGAUUCUGGCUCAGGANGAACGCUAGCGGCAGGCUUAAUACAUGCAAGUCGUGGGGCAGCAUGUCCCGCAGCAAUGCGGGAUGAUGGCGACCGGCAAACGGGUGCGGAACACGUACGCAACCUUCCUUUAAGUGGGGGAUAGCCCGGGGAAACCCGGAUUAAUACCCCGUAAUAUUAUGGAGUGGCAUCACUUUAUAAUUAUAGCUCCGGCGCUUAAAGAUGGGCGUGCGUCUGAUUAGGUAGUUGGCGGGGUAAUAGCCCACCAAGCCUACGAUCAGUAACUGGUGUGAGAGCACGACCAGUCACACGGGCACUGAGACACGGGCCCGACUCCUACGGGAGGCAGCAGUAAGGAAUAUUGGUCAAUGGACGCAAGUCUGAACCAGCCAUGCCGCGUGGAGGAUGAAGGUCCUCUGGAUUGUAAACUUCUUUUAUCUGGGAAGAAACCCAUAGUUUCUACUGUGGUUGACGGUACCAGAUGAAUAAGCACCGGCUAACUCCGUGCCAGCAGCCGCGGUAAUACGGAGGGUGCAAGCGUUAUCCGGAUUCACUGGGUUUAAAGGGUGCGUAGGUGGGCAGGUAAGUCAGUGGUGAAAUCUCCGGGCUUAACCCGGAAACUGCCGUUGAUACUAUCUGUCUUGAAUAUCGUGGAGAUGAGCGGAAUAUGUCAUGUAGCGGUGAAAUGCUUAGAUAUGACAUAGAACACCGAUUGCGAAGGCAGCUCGUUACACGGUUAUUGACACUGNNNCACGAAAGCGUGGGGAUCAAACAGGAUU
RNAcentral lists this ribosomal RNA (782 nucleotides) under uncultured bacterium. RNAcentral's name for it is "bacterial SSU rRNA". It matches the Rfam family "Bacterial small subunit ribosomal RNA", at positions 8 to 779 of the family's 1533-position model. The record is from RNAcentral.